RNAcentral lists this ribosomal RNA (219 nucleotides) under Triticum aestivum (bread wheat). Its description in RNAcentral is "partial small subunit ribosomal RNA". Lineage: Eukaryota; Viridiplantae; Streptophyta; Magnoliopsida; Poales; Poaceae. The record is from RNAcentral.
AUGGCAAAUGGACGCCUCACAGAGAUAGCUUUGACAGAUCCUAAGAGGGCCAAGAAGAUUUUGGCAAAUCGCCAGUCUGCGGCAAGGUCAAAGGAGCGCAAGAUGAGGUACAUUCAAGAACUCGAGCAUAAGGUACAGAUCUUGCAGACAAAGACGACUACACUUUCAACACGGUUGACAAUGCUGCAGAGGGACUCUGGGAGGACUUGCGACUCAUAA